UAGGGAAUCUUCCGCAAUGGACGAAAGUCUGACGGAGCAACGCCGCGUGAGUGAAGAAGGAUUUCGGUUCGUAAAACUCUGUUGUUAGGGAAGAAAAAAUGUAUAGUAACUAUAUACAAAAGAGACGGUACCUAACCAGAAAGCCCCGGCUAAAUACGUGCCAGCAGCCGCGGUAAUACGUAUGGGGCGAGCGUUGUCCGGAAUUAUUGGGCGUAAAGGGUACGUAGGCGGUCUAUUAAGUCAGGUGUGAAAGCGUGAGGCUUAACCUCAUUAAGCACUUGAAACUGAUAGACUUGAGUGAAGGAGAGGAAAGUGGAAUUCCUAGUGUAGCGGUGAAAUGCGUAGAUAUUAGGAGGAACACCGGUGGCGAAAGCGGCUUUUUGGCCUGCAACUGACACUGAGGCGCGAAAGCGUGGGGAGCAAACAGG
RNAcentral lists this ribosomal RNA (428 nucleotides) under Verrucomicrobiota bacterium. RNAcentral's name for it is "Verrucomicrobia bacterium partial 16S ribosomal RNA". It matches the Rfam family "Bacterial small subunit ribosomal RNA", at positions 355 to 776 of the family's 1533-position model. The record is from RNAcentral. Lineage: Bacteria; Pseudomonadati; Verrucomicrobiota.